This 253-nucleotide ribosomal RNA is filed under the name uncultured bacterium. RNAcentral's name for it is "partial 16S ribosomal RNA". It matches the Rfam family "Bacterial small subunit ribosomal RNA", at positions 524 to 776 of the family's 1533-position model. The record is from RNAcentral.
UACGAAGGGGGCUAGCGUUGCUCGGAAUUAUUGGGCGUAAAGCGCACGUAGGCGGCUUAGCAAGUCGGAUGUGAAAUCCCUCGGCUCAACCAAGGAAGUGCAUCCGAAACUGCUGAGCUUGAGUACGAAAGAGGAUCGCGGAAUUCCCGGUGUAGAGGUGAAAUUCGUAGAUAUCGGGAGGAACACCAGUGGCGAAGGCGGCGGUCUGGGUCGAUACUGACGCUGAGGUGCGAAAGCGUGGGGAGCAAACAGG